UGAGUAACGCGUGGGAAACGUACCCUUUGGUUCGGGAUAACCCAGGGAAACUUGGGCUAAUACCGGAUGAGAGCCGGAAACGGGAAAGGUUUACUGCCGAAGGAUCGGCCCGCGUCGGAUUAGCUAGUUGGUGGGGUAAAGGCCUACCAAGGCGACGAUCCGUAGCUGGUCUGAGAGGAUGAUCAGCCACACUGGGACUGAGACACGGCCCAGACUCCCAUACGGGAGGCAGCAGUGGGGAAUAUUGGACAAUGGGCGCAAGCCUGAUCCAGCCAUGCCGCGUGGGUGAAGAAGGCCUUAGGGUUGUAAAGCCCUUUCAGCGGGGACGAUAAUGACGGUACCCGCAGAAGAAGCUCCGGCUAACUUCGUGCCAGCCGCCGCGG
Molecule: ribosomal RNA, 383 nt
Filed under: uncultured bacterium
Lineage: Bacteria
Description: bacterial SSU rRNA
Rfam family: Bacterial small subunit ribosomal RNA
Source: RNAcentral